UACGAAGGGGGCUAGCGUUGCUCGGAAUUACUGGGCGUAAAGGGCGCGUAGGCGGACAUUUAAGUUAGAGGUGAAAGCCCAGGGCUCAACCCUGGAAUAGCCUUUAAUACUGGAUGUCUUGGGUUCGGGAGAGGUGAGUGGAAUGCCGAGUGUAGAGGUGAAAUUCGUAGAUAUUCGGCGGAACACCAGUGGCGAAGGCGACUCACUGGCCCGAUACUGACGCUGAGGCGCGAAAGCGUGGGGAGCAAACAGG
RNAcentral lists this ribosomal RNA (253 nucleotides) under uncultured bacterium. RNAcentral's name for it is "partial 16S ribosomal RNA". It matches the Rfam family "Bacterial small subunit ribosomal RNA", at positions 524 to 776 of the family's 1533-position model. The record is from RNAcentral.